GUGGCUGUAUUUGGUACUGGUUGCAUUGGUCAGUGGUAUAAUGUGAUCCUAAGCAGCUGCAUACAUUAAGAAAUGAUUCUUGCUGACAGUAUGUCUAGUUUAGGGGUCCCCGGCGCCCGCAGGGGCAUCUAAAUG
Non-coding RNA from Mauremys mutica (yellowpond turtle), 135 nucleotides. The record is from RefSeq and is a predicted model, not a curated record. NCBI's taxonomy places the organism in Eukaryota, Metazoa, Chordata, Testudines, Geoemydidae.